RNAcentral lists this ribosomal RNA (408 nucleotides) under uncultured bacterium. RNAcentral describes it as "partial 16S ribosomal RNA". It matches the Rfam family "Bacterial small subunit ribosomal RNA", at positions 28 to 526 of the family's 1533-position model. The record is from RNAcentral.
GACGAACGCUGGCGGCGUGCUUAACACAUGCAAGUCGAACGGAGUGGCGAACGGGUGAGUAACACGUAGGUGAUCUGCCUUGCACUUCGGGAUCACCUUGGGUAACUGUGUCUAAUACAGGAUAGUUCAAGAUGGGCUCGCGGACUAUCAGCUUGUUGGUGGGGUAAUGGCCUACCAAGGCGUCGACGGGUAGCCGGCCUGAGAGGGUGUACGGGCACAUUGGGACUACGGUAAGGCCCAGUCUCAUACGGGAGGCAGCGGUGGGUAAUAUUGUAAAAUGGGCGGAAGCAUGAUGCAGCGACGCCGCGUGGGGGAUGAAGGCCUGGGGGUUGUAAACUCCUUUCGACAGGGACGCGGUACCUAUAUAAGAAGCACCGGCUAACUACGUGCCAGCAGCCGCGGUAAUAC